Molecule: long non-coding RNA, 272 nt
Filed under: Gossypium barbadense (sea-island cotton)
Lineage: Eukaryota; Viridiplantae; Streptophyta; Magnoliopsida; Malvales; Malvaceae
Description: long non-coding RNA (GBAR_LNC004409)
Source: RNAcentral
GCCGCUCUUUCGCCCCCGCAUAUGGAAAAGGAUCUGGUCUUGCCGGGAGAACUGGUACUGACCUAACUGGCCCUAUUCCUACAUGACAGGAAGACCUUCUAUGCCAGUCCUACUACCAGAGUACGGACCAGACAAGGAAUAUCUCUUACUCCAGUACUCAAAAAAAGACAAGUCACUCUUUGAAUUGAGAUAAGGCUAUUUGAACUAGUGGAAAACUCCUUCGGACCCUUCCUUUGUCGUGGGCGUAGGAAAUAAAAAUCCCAUGGAUAAGC